Molecule: ribosomal RNA, 552 nt
Filed under: Pontiometra andersoni
Lineage: Eukaryota; Metazoa; Echinodermata; Crinoidea; Comatulida; Pontiometridae
Description: partial large subunit ribosomal RNA
Rfam family: Bacterial large subunit ribosomal RNA
Source: RNAcentral
AUCGCUCCUUGAAAUAAUAAUUAUAAGGAGUAAUGCCUGCCCAGUGACAAAAGUUUAACGGCCGCGGUAUCUUGACCGUGCAAAGGUAGCAUAAUCAUUUGUUCUUUAAUUGAGGACUAGAAUGAAAGGCAACACGAAAGCUUAACUGUCUCUUUCUUAAAAAAGAAAAUUAAUAUUUUUGUGAAGAAACAAAAAUAAAAACGUAAGACGAGAAGACCCUGUCGAGCUUAAGAAAAUUUUUAUAUUUAUAAAAUUAAGAUAAAAUAAAACUAUACUAUAAAAUAAAUAAUAAAAAUAUCUUUGGUUGGGGCAACCACGAAGAAAAAAAAACCUUCGUUCAAAACAAAAAAUUUACCAAUUAAAAAUAUAAAAAUAAAAAAGAUCCAGAAAAUACUGAUCAAAGAAAAAAGUUACCGCAGGGAUAACAGCGUUAUUCUCUUUAAGAGCUCUUAUUGACAAGAGAGUUUGCGACCUCGAUGUUGGACCGGGGCACCCAAGAGGUGUAGCAGCCUCUAAAGGUAGGUCUGUUCGACCUUUAAAGCCCUACGUGAU